Molecule: ribosomal RNA, 401 nt
Filed under: uncultured bacterium
Lineage: Bacteria
Description: bacterial SSU rRNA
Rfam family: Bacterial small subunit ribosomal RNA
Source: RNAcentral
GGAAUAUUGCGCAAUGGGCGCAAGCCUGACGCAGCGACGCCGCGUGAGGGAUGACGGCCUUCGGGUUGUAAACCCCUUUCAGUAGGGAAGAAGCGAAAGUGACGGUACCUGCAGAUGAAGCGCCGGCUACCUACGUGCCAGCAGCCGCGGUAAUACGGAGGGCGCAAGCGUUAUCCGGAAUGAUUGGGCGUAAAGAGCUCGUAGGCGGUUUGUCGCGUCGGCCGUGAAAGUCCGGGGCUCAACUCCGGAUCUGCGGUGGGUACGGGCAGACUAGAGUGAUGUAGGGGAGACUGGAAUUCCUGGUGUAGCGGUGAAAUGCGCAGAUAUCAGGAGGAACACCGAUGGCGAAGGCAGGUCUCUGGGCAUUAACUGACGCUGAGGAGCGAAAGCAUGGGGAGCGA